Regulatory RNA element from Roseomonas mucosa, 98 nucleotides. It matches the Rfam family "terC RNA". The record is from Rfam. Lineage: Bacteria; Pseudomonadati; Pseudomonadota; Alphaproteobacteria; Acetobacterales; Roseomonadaceae.
CACCCGAUCCGGGCCCCUCUGGCGUCCUGGCGGAUCGGCCGGCCUGCUCUUCGGACAGGGCCGGGCGAGUUCCGCCACCGCGAUGUCGGAUCAUCUUU